AUUAGAUACCCUAUUAUUUUUAAUGUAAAAUUUUAAAUCAGAGUAUUAGUAGUUAUGAUCUUGAAACUUAAAGAAUUUGGCGGUAUUAUAAUCUAUUUAGAGGAAUCUGUUAUCUAAUCGAUGAUCCACGUUGAACCUUACUUAUAUUAUUUCUUGUAUACCGCUGUUUAAGAAUAUACUUUUAGGUAAUUUUCUAAAUAUUUAAUUAGUUAAUAUUUCAAGUCAAGGUGCAGUAACAUAUAAGUUGAAUAAUGGAUUACAAUAAAUUUUAUUUAUUAUGAAUAAUUAUUGGAAUAAUAAUUUGAAGGUGGAUUUAAUUGUAAUUUUAUAAAUGUUAUUAAAAUGAUUUAUAGCUCUAUAAUAUGUACACAUCGCCCG
Molecule: ribosomal RNA, 378 nt
Filed under: Choeradodis rhombicollis
Lineage: Eukaryota; Metazoa; Arthropoda; Insecta; Mantodea; Mantidae
Description: partial 12S ribosomal RNA
Source: RNAcentral